Molecule: non-coding RNA, 4472 nt
Organism: Rattus norvegicus (Norway rat)
Lineage: Eukaryota; Metazoa; Chordata; Mammalia; Rodentia; Muridae
Source: RefSeq, a predicted model, not a curated record
GGGAGGGGAGAUGGGAUAGGGAGUUUAUGGACUGGAAACUGGGAAAGGGGAUAACAUUUGAAAUGUAAAUAAAAAUAUCCAAUUAAAAAUAAAAACACCAGUGCAAAGCAUUGGUUACCUAUAUGUUAACUGUUAAAAAAGAAAGAAAGGGGUCUUCAUUCAUGAAAAUGCUAAUGUCACAGAUACUUCUUUUUCUUGAAGCAUGAUGCAAUUUUGUUAUCAUUGAUGUUCUACUUAAGCAGCAUUCAUCCCGUGCUAGCCCAAGUUAUCACACACUGUCUUCUUGUAACCAGGAUACAAACACUUAUGCUGUGGCCACAAUUGAGAAUUGUGAAGAAUUGAGACUUUAAGGUGGUCUUUAUUCAGAGAACUUUGAUCUGAGACGUCGGUGGAUUAACACCCCAUGCGAAGUCUAUCACAACCUCAUCUCCAACUCUCCAGGCAGCUGAUUAUUCAGGGAAGGGUAAAUGACAGUCAUUCUGGAGUUUGGUCUUGCCCCUCUGGCUAGGUGGCCAAGCAUUCCUAAGGUGGGUGUUAUCUGUUGCUCUCAUCCUCCUCCUUUAACCUGGGUGUCUUGGCUUGGACACUUCUAGGAAGUACGAUCUGUCCUGUGGCUGGAGAGUAACUCAGAACGACUAAACUGUUAACUGUGAUGUGCUGAGGUUUUGGUAACAUGUGCAUGCACGUUCCUCUUGCAACAUGGAAAAUAAAUGGUCCUUAUCAUAUGCGAUAUAAAAGCUCCCCCCCCGCCCCCAUCAACCUUUCCUAAUUUAAAACAAGUCUUUGAGAACAAGGAUCGAUUGAAUGCUUAGGUUACAGGGUCUGAUUGGCUAACUUGUUAAAAUCUUGCCAAAUGCCAGCUUGCCAGGCCUCAUUGAACGUGAAGAUCUUGCCUUGUCUAGAGGUCUCUCAUGCUGCACAGACACUAAGUACAUGGUACUGGGAGGCGCCAAGAGUGGGCUCCUAUUUUUUCCCUUGGGAAAACAAAGUCAUAACCAUCACUAGACAUGCAAGGGGAACCGGUCAGGGUAACGGCCCUUGGCAGAGCACAAUGAGUGUGUACCGGAAGGAGGGGCUGAAGGGCUUAGAGAGAAGCUCAAUAAAGUGCAAAGAUGAAUAGUUCAAAGUCUGAAUAUGUGGCUGUAGGAUCUGGGAAACCCUUAAUGUCAGGACGGAAGAUAGACUCAUUGCAGAGGCUCUGACUUAAACAAGCGCACGCAUCACCACAGAACAAGGAAGUUCUGAGACUCUGGCAGGAACCUAAAUGUGGAUCAUUUGGGUCUGCAGACUAGAGCAGUGGCAAGGCCCAGAGGGAGCUAGUGGAGGGCAAGGAUACUUCCUGUCAUCUCUGGCCCUGACACCUACAACGGAAGCUGCCAGAAGAGCCUGUGCCUCUGCUGACACCACUCAGACCUUGGCAGUGACUGAAACACCUCAGAAGGUUUUGUGGAACCAAUGUGAGCUGAGCUAAGAAUGGCUACUUGUGUAGAGAAUGAGAGGGUGGAGACUAGAGUCUCCAUUGUACUAAAGGUCAACAUUCAUGAGUGAGAGGAAAAAAAAAAAAAGAGGAGGCAUUUGGGGACAGGGAAGUGGUAAGGGAAGACAUUACCGGGGAUGCUGCCAGCUAGGCUGCAGAAAGCAGGAUUCCUGAGGCGGUGAGGAGAAGGGGCAUCUGUAUUUAGAUCUUCAGGGGGAGGGUGGAAAAGGAGCACAGGAAGAAGAUACAGAGAGGGGCAGGGACUAGUCCUGAGGGGCGACAGCAUAUGCUUGGGGUCCUCAAUACCAGCACUUGUGGCAUUGAUAAAAACAACUGAACUUUCCCCAUCACAGUGUUGGCCCAUCUUAGUUUUGGGAAUUAGAACAGAUAAGGGAAGAGUCUAUCUUGGGUGUCAAAGCUGGUGCUAUGUAACCUUGCUGGUUCCUGAUGAACUUCUCAGGCCCAGGGGGAGAAGAAUGCAGCUCGCUGUGCCGUGAUUCCAUCUGCCUUUCCAUCUACCUGCUUCAUCCUCUGUCCUCUGCUUGUGGCUUCCAUGUUCUCUUUGGCUUCUGUGGGUAGCCAGCCAGUGCAAGCCUCCAGCAGGAGCAGAGAGAGACCGGAAGGAAAGAAGCUAGGGAUUUCCUCUCUGCCUUGUGCCCUCUUCUCUCUUUCCAAUUAUACUGUGUGGUGUGUGUGUGUGUGUGUGUGACAGAGGGGACGCUGGUUAGAGACUAUACUCAGCACCCGGCAUACAGUGAGCAACAUCUCCUACUUCCUUCACCAUUUUUGAGACAAUGUCUUUACACAGUGCAGGCUGGACUUAGAAUCGCCAUCCUCUUGCUUCUGCCUCCUGAGAGCUGGGAUGGCAGGUUUGUGUCUGGCUGGAUCUCACCUGAGUCAGUUGCUAUAACUGCCCAGCCCUCACUUGUCUUAAGUACUGACAAUCCUCUUCCCAUUCUUGCCUAGGUUAGAAGCAGCUUCCAUUAGUUGCUAACCCCUGGGUGCCCUAACACCCCUGUGUCCCCACCUUAACUGUCUACAGAAAAUCCGAUUCCCUGCAGGGUCUGUGUAGGUGAUGCCAUUAUGCAGGUGAAGGUAGGUACACGAUAGAACAAGGCCUGUCAUUGAUGAGAAGGAAGGAUGGGCAGGAGAAAAGUUUUAGAAAGGCAGAGGAGGCUGGAGCAAGGAGGAGGAAGCAGGGAGAACAUGGCAGCGGAUGUUAAGAUUCCUCUCUGCACAUAAUACAGGUUGUUACGACUAUUCUUAAGGGACAGAUGUGCCCAGGAUUUUGUGAUGGCUAGAUGGACAAAUUACAUCUUCUCAGUUGGAUCAGAGGAUCAGAGGUGGCUGUGUGCACCAGGCCCAUCACAGAAUUGGGAUGUGUAUGCAUGGUGUGGUGGAAACCAGCCAAGAGAGCUGGGAGUGAAGGUGGGCGGCCUGACAGGGUGCCAUGUUGGAAUGGCUCGCAGACAACGGGUCAGCGUGGAGCCGCUGAGAUAAAUUAGCGCUAGUUCCAGUGGCUCGCUGGAGCCAGAACUUGCGAGAGAGCAUGACUGCCAGGGUACGAGCUGAACUGGUCUGCCCUUUUUUAUUUUUACCCCAGCAGGUCUAGAGUACUAACAGUUUGCCACAUGCUACUCUGCACAGGCUCAUCGGAUCCUUCUCACACUUUAUGCUUUUCUGAUAAGACUGAGGCACGGAAAAGUUAAGAUGCUUAUCCAGAGUCACACAGGAAAUGCCAGAAUUGAGACUCGGAGCUAGGCAGAGCAUCUAACUACUGGUUCAACCUGUCCCUCCCUAACCUGAGGUCAUGCUCCUGAAGCAACAGGAAGAAGAGUACAAGACCCGAGAUCCCUAAACGCACACCAGGUCAAUAUGCUAAGCUUAUUUGUAGGAGAGACUCGGAUCUGGUUAAUCUAAUGUUAUGCACAUUUCUAGCAGGUUAUCAUUUUCAUAUUUCCAGUAGUUCCCAGACUGAACUUCUCAACAGAAACAACUAAGGAGGUUUAUGGUAUAUGAGUGUCCAGGCAGUAACCCCAUAAUGGUAGAGCCACAGCUCGGGGGAUGUGAUCCAGGUACACAUAAUCCCUAGGGGAUUUUAUCUUACUGCCACAAUUGCGAACCACUGUUCUAGUUCACAGUGGCAAUUGCUAGAAGGUAGAGAUGACAGAUGGAUAUGUCUGGGCCUAUAAGCAGAGUCCUGGCUAUAUACAAGGAGGAUAAAGAGAGGAGCUUGCAGAGUUUAUGUAAGAUCUGAAAAUGACAUUAAAUAAAGUAGCCAUGAUCAGGGAUCAUUUAAUGCUUGGGCAAACCACUGCUAGGUCUGUGGACGCCUUACCAUUAAUUAUUACACUGUAGCCAUUGUCCUGAGUCACUAAAAUAAAUGGAAUGAUUGUCCAUGUGCUUUACUGAGGUAAAGGAAACAUAUGUCCUUUACACAGUUUGUUUUUCCUGGAAGAUUACAUCAUUCAAGUUAUUCCCCCACACCCACCUUUUAAAAAAAAACAGUGUCUUACUGUGGAAUCCAGGCUGGCCUUGAACUUCCCACUACUCCUACCUCUGUUUUCUGGGUACUAGAUACAAUGAUGGAUUUUCAGAUGACAGCAAAUAUUUGUAAAACACUUGCACCUGGCAACCUUCUGCAGAACUGAAGUUUCUUCACCCCUGAUUCAUGGACUCAGAUGACAUUUUCAUCCUUUCCAGACAGAUGGGAGCUUCUCAGGUCAUGACAGUGGGAGAGGAUGAGCCAGUGGCUUGUCGUCUUGGGAGAGCUCCCCAGCACCGUUAAGGAAGGCGUCGCGGAUCUCAGUCUUCUUGUUUAUAUGCUUGCUAAGCAAGCUGAUGGUGUGAGGUGAAAAUGGCUGACAGACCGCCAUGGAGGGCUGCUCACCACUCCAUCUACUAUGAGCUCAGAACAAAGGGCAUCACACAACGGGAAAUUGAACAGUCAUGUCUGAUACCAAUAAAGAUACUGCUUUAUCCUCGUCCCCAAGAA